Molecule: ribosomal RNA, 431 nt
Filed under: uncultured bacterium
Lineage: Bacteria
Description: partial 16S ribosomal RNA
Rfam family: Bacterial small subunit ribosomal RNA
Source: RNAcentral
AACGAACGCUGGCGGCAGGCCUAACACAUGCGAGUCGAGCGCCCCGCAAGGGGAGCGGCGGACGGGUGAGUAACGCGUGGGAAUAUGCCCUUUGCUACGGAAUAGUCUCGGGAAACUGGGGGUAAUACCGUAUACGCCCUUUGGGGGAAAGAUUUAUCGGCGAAGGAUUAGCCCGCGUUGGAUUAGGUAGUUGGUGGGGUAAUGGCCUACCAAGCCGACGAUCCAUAGCUGGUUUGAGAGGAUGAUCAGCCACACUGGGACUGAGACACGGCCCAGACUCCUACGGGAGGCAGCAGUGGGGAAUCUUAGACAAUGGGGGCAACCCUGAUCUAGCCAUGCCGCGUGGGUGAUGAAGGCCUUAGGGUUGUAAAGCUCUUUCAGCUGGGAAGAUAAUGACGGUACCAGCAGAAGAAGCCCCGGCUAACUCCGUG